RNAcentral lists this ribosomal RNA (1306 nucleotides) under metagenome. RNAcentral's name for it is "bacterial SSU rRNA". It matches the Rfam family "Bacterial small subunit ribosomal RNA", at positions 147 to 1498 of the family's 1533-position model. The record is from RNAcentral.
CUGCGAGAAAUCGUAGCUAAUACCGCAUGUGCCCGCAAGGGUAAAGCUUCGGCGCUUCAAGAGGGGCCUGCGGCGCAUCAGUUUGUUGGUGAGGUAACGGCUCACCAAGACUAUGACGCGUACCUGGUGUGAGAGCACGACCAGGCAGAAUGGGACUGAGACACGGCCCAUACUCCUACGGGAGGCAGCAGUGAGGAAUCUUCCACAAUGGGCGAAAGCCUGAUGGAGCCAUACCGCGUGCGGGAUGACACCUUUCGGGGCGUAAACCGCUUUUCUGGGGGAAUAAGUUCUGAAGGUACCCCAGGAAUAAGCUACGGCUAACUACGUGCCAGCAGCCGCGGUAAUACGUAGGUAGCAAGCGUUAUCCGGAAUCACUGGGCGUAAAGCGAUCGAAGGCUGUGAAGAAAGUCGGAUGUUAAAUACCUUGGCUCAACCAAGGUGCUGUAUCCGAAACUUCUUUGCUAGAGGGAGACAGAGGCAGAUGGAAUUCCUAUUGUAGGGGUUAAAUCCGUAGAUAAUAGGAGGAACACCAAAAGCGAAGGCAAUCUGCUGGGUCUCACCUGACGCUGCGCGAUCGAAAGCGUGGGGAGCGAAAAGGAUUAGAUACCCUUGUAGUCCACGCCGUAAACGAUGAAUACUCGAUGUUGGAGGGUCCAAUCCCCUUCAGUGUCCAAGCUAACGCGUUAAGUAUUCCGCCUGAAGAGUACGGUCGCAAGAUUAAAACUCAAAGGAAUAGACGGGGAUCCACACAAGCGGUGGAGCGUCUGGUUUAAUUCGACAAUAAGCGAGGAACCUUACCAAGACUUGACAUCCUUAGAAUUCACUGGAAACAGAGAAGUGCCUUCGGGAACUAAGUGACAGGUGUUGCAUGGUCGUCGUCAGCUCGUGCCUUGAGGUGUUCGGUUAAGUCCGUUAACGAGCGCAACCCUCGUCGUAUGUUGUAUGUUUCAUGCGAGACCGCCGGUCUUACAUCGGAGGAAGGUGAGGAUGACGUCAGAUCAGCAUGGCCCUUAUGUCUUGGGCGACACAGGCGCUACAAUGGUUGGUACAAAGGGCUGCGAAGCAGCAAUGUGAAGCCAAUCCCAAAAAACCAAUCUCAGUUCGGAUUGAGGUCUGCAACUCGACCUCAUGAAGUUGGAAUCGCUAGUAACCGUGAAUCAGCCAUGUCACGGUGAAUAUGUUCCUGGAUCUUGUACUCACCGCCCGUCAAGUCAUGCAAGGCAGAGACGCCCAAAGUCGCGUUACCCGCCUCGGUGGGGCGUGCCUAAGGUGAAGCUGCUGAUUGGGACUAAGUCGUAACAAGGUA